Molecule: ribosomal RNA, 459 nt
Filed under: uncultured bacterium
Lineage: Bacteria
Description: partial 16S ribosomal RNA
Rfam family: Bacterial small subunit ribosomal RNA
Source: RNAcentral
CCUACGGGGGUAGCAGUGAGGAAGAGUGGGCAAGGGACGCAAGUCGGAACCAGCCAGGCCGCGUGGAGGAGGACGGGUCUAGGAGUUGUAAACUGCUUUUGUACGAGGGUAAACCCCGAUACGUGUAUCGGGUUGAAAGUAUCGUACGAAUAAGGAUCGGCUAACUCCGGGCCAGCAGCCGCGGUAAUACGGAGGAUCCGAGCGUUAUCCGGAUUUAUUGGGUUUAAAGGGUGCGUAGGCGGUUUGAUAAGUUAGAGGUGAAAUGUCGGGGCUCAACCCCGAAACUGCCGCUAAUACUGUUGGACUAGAGAAUAGUUGCGGUAGGCGGAAUGUAUGGUGUAGCGGUGAAAUGCUUAGAGAUCAUACAGAACACCGAUUGCGAAGGCAGCUUACCAAACUAUAUCUGACGUUGAGGCACGAAAGCGUGGGUAGCAAACAGGAUUAGAUACCCUGGUAGUC